RNAcentral lists this ribosomal RNA (1530 nucleotides) under Escherichia coli DEC10D. RNAcentral describes it as "bacterial SSU rRNA". It matches the Rfam family "Bacterial small subunit ribosomal RNA". The record is from RNAcentral. Lineage: Bacteria; Pseudomonadati; Pseudomonadota; Gammaproteobacteria; Enterobacterales; Enterobacteriaceae.
AGAGUUUGAUCAUGGCUCAGAUUGAACGCUGGCGGCAGGCCUAACACAUGCAAGUCGAACGGUAACAGGAAGCAGCUUGCUGUUUCGCUGACGAGUGGCGGACGGGUGAGUAAUGUCUGGGAAACUGCCUGAUGGAGGGGGAUAACUACUGGAAACGGUAGCUAAUACCGCAUAACGUCGCAAGACCAAAGAGGGGGACCUUCGGGCCUCUUGCCAUCGGAUGUGCCCAGAUGGGAUUAGCUUGUUGGUGGGGUAACGGCUCACCAAGGCGACGAUCCCUAGCUGGUCUGAGAGGAUGACCAGCCACACUGGAACUGAGACACGGUCCAGACUCCUACGGGAGGCAGCAGUGGGGAAUAUUGCACAAUGGGCGCAAGCCUGAUGCAGCCAUGCCGCGUGUAUGAAGAAGGCCUUCGGGUUGUAAAGUACUUUCAGCGGGGAGGAAGGGAGUAAAGUUAAUACCUUUGCUCAUUGACGUUACCCGCAGAAGAAGCACCGGCUAACUCCGUGCCAGCAGCCGCGGUAAUACGGAGGGUGCAAGCGUUAAUCGGAAUUACUGGGCGUAAAGCGCACGCAGGCGGUUUGUUAAGUCAGAUGUGAAAUCCCCGGGCUCAACCUGGGAACUGCAUCUGAUACUGGCAAGCUUGAGUCUCGUAGAGGGGGGUAGAAUUCCAGGUGUAGCGGUGAAAUGCGUAGAGAUCUGGAGGAAUACCGGUGGCGAAGGCGGCCCCCUGGACGAAGACUGACGCUCAGGUGCGAAAGCGUGGGGAGCAAACAGGAUUAGAUACCCUGGUAGUCCACGCCGUAAACGAUGUCGACUUGGAGGUUGUGCCCUUGAGGCGUGGCUUCCGGAGCUAACGCGUUAAGUCGACCGCCUGGGGAUACGGCCGCAAGGUUAAAACUCAAAUGAAUUGACGGGGGCCCGCACAAGCGGUGGAGCAUGUGGUUUAAUUCGAUGCAACGCGAAGAACCUUACCUGGUCUUGACAUCCACGGAAGUUUUCAGAGAUGAGAAUGUGCCUUCGGGAACCGUGAGACAGGUGCUGCAUGGCUGUCGUCAGCUCGUGUUGUGAAAUGUUGGGUUAAGUCCCGCAACGAGCGCAACCCUUAUCCUUUGUUGCCAGCGGUCCGGCCGGGAACUCAAAGGAGACUGCCAGUGAUAAACUGGAGGAAGGUGGGGAUGACGUCAAGUCAUCAUGGCCCUUACGACCAGGGCUACACACGUGCUACAAUGGCGCAUACAAAGAGAAGCGACCUCGCGAGAGCAAGCGGACCUCAUAAAGUGCGUCGUAGUCCGGAUUGGAGUCUGCAACUCGACUCCAUGAAGUCGGAAUCGCUAGUAAUCGUGGAUCAGAAUGCCACGGUGAAUACGUUCCCGGGCCUUGUACACACCGCCCGUCACACCAUGGGAGUGGGUUGCAAAAGAAGUAGGUAGCUUAAACCUUCGGGAGGGCGCUUACUACUUUGUGAUUCAUGACUGGGGUGAAGUCGUAACAAGGUAACCGUAGGGGAACCUGCGGUUGGAUCACCU